AUUAAAUUGGCAGAAUUUAUGCAUUAAAUUUAGAAUUUACUUAAGUAAUUAAUAUUACAUUUAAUA
Molecule: transfer RNA, 66 nt
Filed under: Gunungidia aurantiifasciata
Lineage: Eukaryota; Metazoa; Arthropoda; Insecta; Hemiptera; Cicadellidae
Also listed under: 1 other name
Description: tRNA-Leu
Source: RNAcentral